GUCAGCACCCCAAGAUGCAUCUUGCCCACAGCACCCUCAAACCUGCUGCUCACCUCAUUGAGACCCCAGCAAGCAGAACUCACUGCUCUGGAGAGCAAACACGGACCGUGCCUUCCUCCAGGAUGGUUUCUCCUUGAGCAACAAUUCUCUCCUGGUCCCCACCAGUGGCAUCUACUUCGUCUACUCCCAGGGUCGUCACCACCUCUCCUUUGGCCAUUCCAACAGCUCAAGUCUUCCCUGAUCAAGUCACCGGAGCUUUCAAAGAAGGA
This 269-nucleotide long non-coding RNA is filed under the name Homo sapiens (human). Its description in RNAcentral is "long non-coding RNA NONHSAT108790.2". Lineage: Eukaryota; Metazoa; Chordata; Mammalia; Primates; Hominidae. The record is from RNAcentral.